AUGAACGCUGGCGGCGUGCCUAAUACCUGCAAGUCGAGCGCACGGACGAGAAGCUUGCUUCUCUGAUGUUAGCGGCGGACGGGUGAGUAACACGUGGAUAACCUACCUAUAAGACUGGGAUAACUUCGGGAAACCGUAGCUAAUACCGGAUAAUAUUUUGAACCGCAUGGUUCAAAAGUGAAAGACGGUCUUGCUGUCACUUAUAGAUGGAUCCGCGCUGCAUUAGCUAGUUGGUAAGGUAACGGCUUACCAAGGCAACGAUGCAUAGCCGACCUGAGAGGGUGAUCGGCCACACUGGAACUGAGACACGGUCCAGACUCCUACGGGAGGCAGCAGUAGGGAAUCUUCCGCAAUGGGCGAAAGCCUGACGGAGCAACGCCGCGUGAGUGAUGAAGGUCUUCGGAUCGUAAAACUCUGUUAUUAGGGAAGAACAUAUGUGUAAGUAACUGUGCACAUCUUGACGGUACCUAAUCAGAAAGCCACGGCUAACUACGUG
RNAcentral lists this ribosomal RNA (496 nucleotides) under uncultured bacterium. RNAcentral's name for it is "partial 16S ribosomal RNA". It matches the Rfam family "Bacterial small subunit ribosomal RNA", at positions 29 to 507 of the family's 1533-position model. The record is from RNAcentral.